GUACCUACCUCUGUUGCUUUGGCGGGCCGCGGUCCUCCGCGGCCGCCCCCCUCCCCGGGGGGUGGCCAGCGCCCGCCAGAGGACCAUCAAACUCCAGUCAGUAAACGAUGCAGUCUGAAAAACAUUUAAUAAACUAAAACUUUCAACAACGGAUCUCUUGGUUCUGGCAUCGAUGAAGAACGCAGCGAAAUGCGAUAAGUAAUGUGAAUUGCAGAAUUCAGUGAAUCAUCGAAUCUUUGAACGCACAUUGCGCCCUUUGGUAUUCCGAAGGGCAUGCCUGUUCGAGCGUCAUUACAACCCUCAAGCUCUGCUUGGUAUUGGGCACCGUCCUUUGCGGGCGCGCCUCAAAGACCUCGGCGGUGGCGUCUUGCCUCAAGCGUAGUAGAACAUACAUCUCGCUUCGGAGCGCAGGGCGUCGCCCGCCGGACGAACCUUCUGAACUUUUCUCAAGGUUGACCUCGGAUCAGGUAGGGAUACCCGCUGAACUUAAGCAUAUCAAAA
This 501-nucleotide ribosomal RNA is filed under the name Botryosphaeria dothidea. RNAcentral's name for it is "eukaryotic LSU rRNA". The stretch from base 138 to 291 matches the Rfam family "5.8S ribosomal RNA". The record is from RNAcentral. Lineage: Eukaryota; Fungi; Ascomycota; Dothideomycetes; Botryosphaeriales; Botryosphaeriaceae.